Molecule: long non-coding RNA, 264 nt
Filed under: Homo sapiens (human)
Lineage: Eukaryota; Metazoa; Chordata; Mammalia; Primates; Hominidae
Description: non-protein coding lnc-CNNM1-2:1
Source: RNAcentral
CCGGCACCGCCCCUUUAAGAGAUUUCUACUGCAGACAUUUUUUAACUUUUUAAAGCGUCAGGCACUUCGUCCGCUCAGGGCCCUUUUCUGGUUGAAGCAGCAAUACCAAGGGCGGUUAAGUUGCAGAGGGGUCUUGAGGCGGUGAUUCCUGUCAAAGCAUAGAGCCCUGAAGGACAUUCCCCGAAGAGGAGCCCUGAUCUCUGUGACGCGUUGGAUAGCCACACCGAAGCAUCCUCUGACCUCCAUAGGGCAAAGAGUAGCAAG